UGGGGGAUAUUGCACAAUGGGCGAAAGCCUGAUGCAGCGACGCCGCGUGGGGGAUGAAGGCCUUCGGGUUGUAAACUUCUUUUGCUCUGAACAAGGCGCACCAUGGGGUGUGUUGAGUGUAGGGGUUGAUUAGCGCCGGCUAACUACGUGCCAGCAGCCGCGGUAAUACGUAGGGCGCGAGCGUUGUCCGGAAUUAUUGGGCGUAAAGGGCUUGUAGGUGGCUGGUUGCGUCUGUCGUGAAAGCUCAUGGCUUAACUGUGGGUUUGCGGUGGGUACGGGCUGGCUUGAGUGCAGUAGGUGAGGCUGGAAUUCCUGGUGUAGCGGUGGAAUGCGCAGAUAUCAGGAGGAAUACCGGUGGCGAAGGCGGGUCUCUGGGCUGUUACUGACACUGAGGAGCGAAAGCAAGGGGAGCGAACAGG
This 419-nucleotide ribosomal RNA is filed under the name bacterium. RNAcentral describes it as "partial 16S ribosomal RNA". It matches the Rfam family "Bacterial small subunit ribosomal RNA", at positions 355 to 776 of the family's 1533-position model. The record is from RNAcentral.